AAAAGCACAGGCUGUUCCUUCUGAGGACUUAGGUUUGUUUUAUGGCACCCACAUGGUGACUCACAACCAUGAGUAACUCCAUCUCCAAAGGAUCCAUUUUUAAUCUACUUUAAAAGAUUAAUCUCAUUUUCAUGACAAAUGUUUCAAGCUAACCUUUCAAUGAAAACCUUGUUUAUUAGUCUUUUACUCUCUGAGUUAUAUUCUUUUGUCUUUGAGUGCUGAGGAUUGAACCUAUAGUGUCACAGUUACCAAGUCACCAGUCACGCCAGUAGGCUAAACCCCUAUCUUCGAAUUUAGAUUCUUCUACUUAUUUUAAAUAGUAUGAGCUCUUUCUCCAUAGGAAACUGUUCUUGGUCAUUUUGUGUUAGAUAGUUUGUCUCACCUUAUGUGGCAUCACAUAUUUAUCCUAUUUCAGUUCCUUUCUAAAUACCUUCAUUACUUCUUACCCAAUCCAAAUCAAAUGUAAAUGUCUCUAUGGUAUUGUAUUAGGUAUGGUUCUCUAGAAGAAUAAAACUUACAGCGUGCAUGUGAUUUGUUUAUUAGAAUUGCUUACAGACUGUGUAGUUCACCUAAUCUGCUAACAGAAAUAACAAGAAUUCAUUAUUGAUCAUUCCUCAAGGCUGGAUGUCUUAGCUGUAUUUCAGUAUAUGUCAUAAUUCCAAAGAAGUAGGGCCUAUUGAAUGGAACACAGAGUCCCUAAUGAAGGAGCUAGAGAAAGUAACCA
This 724-nucleotide long non-coding RNA is filed under the name Mus musculus (house mouse). RNAcentral's name for it is "predicted gene 12910". The record is from RNAcentral. Lineage: Eukaryota; Metazoa; Chordata; Mammalia; Rodentia; Muridae.